This 201-nucleotide small nuclear RNA is filed under the name Mus musculus (house mouse). RNAcentral describes it as "7SK RNA". It matches the Rfam family "7SK RNA", at positions 1 to 200 of the family's 331-position model. Rfam says of the family: 7SK was discovered as an abundant small nuclear RNA in the mid-70s but a possible function has only recently been suggested. Two independent studies have found that 7SK RNA binds the CDK9/cyclin T complex (known as elongation factor P-TEFb). P-TEFb activates transcription by phosphorylating the C-terminal domain of RNA polymerase II. The record is from Rfam by way of RNAcentral. Lineage: Eukaryota; Metazoa; Chordata; Mammalia; Rodentia; Muridae.
GGAUGUGAGGGCCAGCUACCUGAGAAACCUGCUACGUCAUUUGUCACCAGUGUUGAUCUGGCUGAUCUGUCUAGCUUCAGGGUGGUCCCUUCCUCCCUCACUGCUCUGUGUGUGUGUGUCCUGAAGCUAAACCUGUGCACUCAGUCAAAGAGGCAUCUUCCCCAAAUAGAGGAUUGGUCUUCGGUCAAGGGUAUAUGAGAA